This 2763-nucleotide ribosomal RNA is filed under the name Enterobacter cloacae. RNAcentral describes it as "bacterial LSU rRNA". It matches the Rfam family "Bacterial large subunit ribosomal RNA". Lineage: Bacteria; Pseudomonadati; Pseudomonadota; Gammaproteobacteria; Enterobacterales; Enterobacteriaceae. The record is from RNAcentral.
ACACUAUCGUUAACUGAAUACAUAGGUUAACGAGGCGAACCGGGGGAACUGAAACAUCUAAGUACCCCGAGGAAAAGAAAUCAACCGAGAUUCCCCCAGUAGCGGCGAGCGAACGGGGAGCAGCCCGGAGUCUGAAUCAGCUUGUGUGUUAGUGGAACGGUCUGGAAAGUCCGACGGUACAGGGUGAUAGUCCCGUACACGAAAGCACACUUGCUGUGAACUCGAAGAGUAGGGCGGGACACGUGGUAUCCUGUCUGAAUAUGGGGGGACCAUCCUCCAAGGCUAAAUACUCCUGACUGACCGAUAGUGAACCAGUACCGUGAGGGAAAGGCGAAAAGAACCCCGGCGAGGGGAGUGAAAAAGAACCUGAAACCGUGUACGUACAAGCAGUGGGAGCACCUUCGUGGUGUGACUGCGUACCUUUUGUAUAAUGGGUCAGCGACUUAUAUUCUGUAGCAAGGUUAACCGUAUAGGGGAGCCGAAGGGAAACCGAGUCUUAACUGGGCGUUAAGUUGCAGGGUAUAGACCCGAAACCCGGUGAUCUAGCCAUGGGCAGGUUGAAGGUUGGGUAACACUAACUGGAGGACCGAACCGACUAAUGUUGAAAAAUUAGCGGAUGACCUGUGGCUGGGGGUGAAAGGCCAAUCAAACCGGGAGAUAGCUGGUUCUCCCCGAAAGCUAUUUAGGUAGCGCCUCGUGAACUCAUCUUCGGGGGUAGAGCACUGUUUCGGCUAGGGGGCCAUCCCGGCUUACCAACCCGAUGCAAACUACGAAUACCGAAGAAUGUUAUCACGGGAGACACACGGCGGGUGCUAACGUCCGUCGUGAAGAGGGAAACAACCCAGACCGCCAGCUAAGGUCCCAAAGUCAUGGUUAAGUGGGAAACGAUGUGGGAAGGCACAGACAGCCAGGAUGUUGGCUUAGAAGCAGCCAUCAUUUAAAGAAAGCGUAAUAGCUCACUGGUCGAGUCGGCCUGCGCGGAAGAUGUAACGGGGCUAAACCAUGCACCGAAGCUGCGGCAGCGACACUAUGUGUUGUUGGGUAGGGGAGCGUUCUGUAAGCCGUUGAAGGUGUGCUGUGAGGCAUGCUGGAGGUAUCAGAAGUGCGAAUGCUGACAUAAGUAACGAUAAAGCGGGUGAAAAGCCCGCUCGCCGGAAGACCAAGGGUUCCUGUCCAACGUUAAUCGGGGCAGGGUGAGUCGACCCCUAAGGCGAGGCCGAAAGGCGUAGUCGAUGGGAAACAGGUUAAUAUUCCUGUACUUGGUGUUACUGCGAAGGGGGGACGGAGAAGGCUAUGUCAGCCGGGCGACGGUUGUCCCGGUUUAAGCAUGUAGGCGGAGGUUCCAGGUAAAUCCGGUACCUUAUUAACGCUGAGGUGUGAUGACGAGGCACUACGGUGCUGAAGUGAUAAAUGCCCUGCUUCCAGGAAAAGCCUCUAAGCAUCAGGUAACACGAAAUCGUACCCCAAACCGACACAGGUGGUCAGGUAGAGAAUACCAAGGCGCUUGAGAGAACUCGGGUGAAGGAACUAGGCAAAAUGGUGCCGUAACUUCGGGAGAAGGCACGCUGAUGUGUAGGUGAAGUCCCUGCGGACGGAGCUGAAAUCAGUCGAAGAUACCAGCUGGCUGCAACUGUUUAUUAAAAACACAGCACUGUGCAAACACGAAAGUGGACGUAUACGGUGUGACGCCUGCCCGGUGCCGGAAGGUUAAUUGAUGGGGUUAGCUGUAAGGCGAAGCUCUUGAUCGAAGCCCCGGUAAACGGCGGCCGUAACUAUAACGGUCCUAAGGUAGCGAAAUUCCUUGUCGGGUAAGUUCCGACCUGCACGAAUGGCGUAAUGAUGGCCAGGCUGUCUCCACCCGAGACUCAGUGAAAUUGAACUCGCUGUGAAGAUGCAGUGUACCCGCGGCAAGACGGAAAGACCCCGUGAACCUUUACUAUAGCUUGACACUGAACACUGGUCCUUGAUGUGUAGGAUAGGUGGGAGGCUUUGAAGCGUGGACGCCAGUCUGCGUGGAGCCGUCCUUGAAAUACCACCCUUUAAUGGCUGGUGUUCUAACGUAGACCCGUAAUCCGGGUUGCGGACAGUGUCUGGUGGGUAGUUUGACUGGGGCGGUCUCCUCCCAAAGAGUAACGGAGGAGCACGAAGGUUGGCUAAUCCUGGUCGGACAUCAGGAGGUUAGUGCAAUGGCAUAAGCCAGCUUGACUGCGAGCGUGACGGCGCGAGCAGGUGCGAAAGCAGGUCAUAGUGAUCCGGUGGUUCUGAAUGGAAGGGCCAUCGCUCAACGGAUAAAAGGUACUCCGGGGAUAACAGGCUGAUACCGCCCAAGAGUUCAUAUCGACGGCGGUGUUUGGCACCUCGAUGUCGGCUCAUCACAUCCUGGGGCUGAAGUAGGUCCCAAGGGUAUGGCUGUUCGCCAUUUAAAGUGGUACGCGAGCUGGGUUUAGAACGUCGUGAGACAGUUCGGUCCCUAUCUGCCGUGGGCGCUGGAGAAUUGAGGGGGGCUGCUCCUAGUACGAGAGGACCGGAGUGGACGCAUCACUGGUGUUCGGGUUGUCAUGCCAAUGGCACUGCCCGGUAGCUAAAUGCGGAAGAGAUAAGUGCUGAAAGCAUCUAAGCACGAAACUUGCCCCGAGAUGAGUUCUCCCUGAGACUUUAAGUCUCCUGAAGGAACGUUGAAGACGACGACGUUGAUAGGUCGGGUGUGUAAGCGCAGCGAUGCGUUGAGCUAACCGAUACUAAUGAACCGUGAGGCUUAACCUU